UGAUCCUAUUGAUGCAACACCUAGCGCAAGUCAACCUGGAUUUUCUCCACGUAUGUGGAGG
Molecule: small RNA, 61 nt
Filed under: Lactobacillus acidophilus
Lineage: Bacteria; Bacillati; Bacillota; Bacilli; Lactobacillales; Lactobacillaceae
Description: crRNA_28
Source: RNAcentral